UACAGAGGGUGCGAGCGUUACUCGGAAUUACUGGGCGUAAAGCGUGCGUAGACGGUUGCGUAAGUCAGAUGUGAAAGCCCCGGGCUCAACCUGGGAAUUGCAUUUGAGACUGCGUAGCUAGGGUGCGGAAGAGGGAAGCGGAAUUUCCGGUGUAGCGGUGAAAUGCGUAGAUAUCGGAAGGAACACCAGUGGCGAAAGCGGCUUCCUGGUCCAGCACCGACGUUCAGGCACGAAAGCGUGGGGAGCAAACAGG
RNAcentral lists this ribosomal RNA (253 nucleotides) under uncultured bacterium. RNAcentral's name for it is "partial 16S ribosomal RNA". It matches the Rfam family "Bacterial small subunit ribosomal RNA", at positions 524 to 776 of the family's 1533-position model. The record is from RNAcentral.